This 65-nucleotide transfer RNA is filed under the name Cyclograpsus intermedius. RNAcentral describes it as "tRNA-Tyr". It matches the Rfam family "tRNA". From Rfam's summary of the family: Transfer RNA (tRNA) molecules are approximately 80 nucleotides in length. Their secondary structure includes four short double-helical elements and three loops (D, anti-codon, and T loops). The record is from RNAcentral. Lineage: Eukaryota; Metazoa; Arthropoda; Malacostraca; Decapoda; Varunidae.
AAUAAAGUGGCUGAGUUAUAAGCGGUAGAUUGUAAAUCUAUAAACGAAUUUAAAUUCCUUUGUUA